RNAcentral lists this small RNA (123 nucleotides) under Marmota monax (woodchuck). The record is from RNAcentral. Lineage: Eukaryota; Metazoa; Chordata; Mammalia; Rodentia; Sciuridae.
ACCAGGUGUGGUAACUCACACCUGUAAUCCCAGCAGCUCAGGAGGCUGAGGCAGGAGGAUUGUGGGUUCAAAGCCAGCCUCAGCAACUUAGCGAGGCCCUAACCAACUCAGACCCUGCCUCAA